Molecule: ribosomal RNA, 133 nt
Filed under: uncultured bacterium
Lineage: Bacteria
Description: partial 16S ribosomal RNA
Source: RNAcentral
CGGAGUUAGCCGGUGCUUAUUCCUCGGGUACCGUCAUCAUCUUCCCCGAGAAAAGGGCUUUACAACCCUAAGGCCUUCGUCACCCACGCGGCGUCGCUGGAUCAGGGUUGCCCCCAUUGUCCAAGAUUCCCCA